RNAcentral lists this ribosomal RNA (506 nucleotides) under uncultured bacterium. RNAcentral describes it as "partial 16S ribosomal RNA". It matches the Rfam family "Bacterial small subunit ribosomal RNA", at positions 29 to 523 of the family's 1533-position model. The record is from RNAcentral.
AGUGAACGCUGGCGGUAGGCCUAACACAUGCAAGUCGAACGGCAGCACAGAGGAGCUUGCUCCUUGGGUGGCGAGUGGCGGACGGGUGAGGAAUACAUCGGAAUCUACUCUGUCGUGGGGGAUAACGUAGGGAAACUUACGCUAAUACCGCAUACGACCUACGGGUGAAAGCAGGGGACCUUCGGGCCUUGCGCGAUGGGAUGAGCCGAUGACGGAUUAGCUAGUUGGCGGGGUAAAGGCCCACCAAGGCGACGAUCCGUAGCUGGUCUGAGAGGAUGAUCAGCCACACUGGAACUGAGACACGGUCCAGACUCCUACGGGAGGCAGCAGUGGGGAAUAUUGGACAAUGGGCGCAAGCCUGAUCCAGCCAUACCGCGUGGGUGAAGAAGGCCUUCGGGUUGUAAAGCCCUUUUGUUGGGAAAGAAAUCCAGCUGGCUAAUACCCGGUUGGGAUGACGGUACCCAAAGAAUAAGCACCGGCUAACUUCGUGCCAGCAGCCGCCGCGG